UACCGUAUUUCAUGGUUAGAGGCAGC
Molecule: non-coding RNA, 26 nt
Filed under: Homo sapiens (human)
Lineage: Eukaryota; Metazoa; Chordata; Mammalia; Primates; Hominidae
Source: RNAcentral